AUUGAACGCUGGCGGCAUGCUUUACACAUGCAAGUCGGACGGCAGCACAGAGAAGCUUGCUUCUUGGGUGGCGAGUGGCGAACGGGUGAGUAAUAUAUCGGAACGUACCGAGUAAUGGGGGAUAACUAAUCGAAAGAUUAGCUAAUACCGCAUAUUCUCUGAGGAGGAAAGCAGGGGACCUUCGGGCCUUGCGUUAUUCGAGCGGCCGAUAUCUGAUUAGCUAGUUGGUGGGGUAAAGGCCUACCAAGGCGACGAUCAGUAGCGGGUCUGAGAGGAUGAUCCGCCACACUGGGACUGAGACACGGCCCAGACUCCUACGGGAGGCAGCAGUGGGGAAUUUUGGACAAUGGGCGCAAGCCUGAUCCAGCCAUGCCGCGUGUCUGAAGAAGGCCUUCGGGUUGUAAAGGACUUUUGUCAAGGAAGAAAAGGCUGUUGCUAAUACCGACAGCUGAUGA
This 455-nucleotide ribosomal RNA is filed under the name Neisseria flavescens. Its description in RNAcentral is "bacterial SSU rRNA". It matches the Rfam family "Bacterial small subunit ribosomal RNA", at positions 30 to 475 of the family's 1533-position model. Lineage: Bacteria; Pseudomonadati; Pseudomonadota; Betaproteobacteria; Neisseriales; Neisseriaceae. The record is from RNAcentral.